GAUGAACGCUGGCGGCGUGCCUAAUACAUGCAAGUCGAGUGAACAGACGAGGAGCUUGCUCCUCUGACGUUAGCGGCGGACGGGUGAGUAACACGUGGAUAACCUACCUAUAAGACUGGGAUAACUUCGGGAAACCGGAGCUAAUACCGGAUAAUAUAUUGAACCGCAUGGUUCAAUAGUGAAAGACGGUUUUGCUGUCACUUAUAGAUGGAUCCGCGCCGCAUUAGAUAGUUGGUAAGGUAACGGCUUACCAAGGCAACGAUGCGUAGCCGACCUGAGAGGGUGAUCGGCCACACUGGAACUGAGACACGGUCCAGACUCCUACGGGAGGCAGCAGUAGGGAAUCUUCCGCAAUGGGCGAAAGCUUGACGGAGCAACGCCGCGUGAGUGAUGAAGGUCUUCGGAUCGUAAAACUCUGUUAUUAGGGAAGAACAAAUGUGUAAGUAACUAUGCACGUCUUGACGGUACCUAAUCAGAAAGCCACGGCUAACUACGUG
Molecule: ribosomal RNA, 497 nt
Filed under: uncultured bacterium
Lineage: Bacteria
Description: partial 16S ribosomal RNA
Rfam family: Bacterial small subunit ribosomal RNA
Source: RNAcentral